This 487-nucleotide ribosomal RNA is filed under the name uncultured bacterium. RNAcentral describes it as "bacterial SSU rRNA". It matches the Rfam family "Bacterial small subunit ribosomal RNA", at positions 8 to 507 of the family's 1533-position model. The record is from RNAcentral.
AGAGUUUGAUCCUGGCUCAGGAUGAACGCUGGCGGCGUGCCUAAUACAUGCAAGUCGAGCGAACCACUUCGGUGUGGAGCGGCGAACGGGUGAGUAACACGUAGGUGAUCUGCCCAUCAGACGGGGACAACGAUUGGAAACGAUCGCUAAUACCGGAUAGGACGAAAGUUUAAAGGUGCUUCUGGCACCGCUGAUGGAUGAGCCUGCGGCGCAUUAGCUAGUUGGUAGGGUAAAGGCCUACCAAGGCGACGAUGCGUAGCCGACCUGAGAGGGUGAACGGCCACACUGGGACUGAGACACGGCCCAGACUCCUACGGGAGGCAGCAGUAGGGAAUCUUCGGCAAUGGGCGAAAGCCUGACCGAGCAACGCCGCGUGAAUGAUGAAGGCCUUCGGGUUGUAAAAUUCUGUUAUAAGGGAAGAACGACUUUAGUAGGAAAUGGCUAGAGUGUGACGGUACCUUAUGAGAAAGCCACGGCUAACUACGUG